This 468-nucleotide ribosomal RNA is filed under the name uncultured bacterium. RNAcentral describes it as "partial 16S ribosomal RNA". It matches the Rfam family "Bacterial small subunit ribosomal RNA", at positions 28 to 507 of the family's 1533-position model. The record is from RNAcentral.
GACGAACGCUGGCGGCGUGCUUAACACAUGCAAGUCGAACGGAAAGGCCCUGCUUUUGUGGGGUGCUCGAGUGGCGAACGGGUGAGUAACACGUGAGUAACCUGCCCUUGACUUUGGGAUAACUUCAGGAAACUGGGGCUAAUACCGGAUAGGAGCUCCUGCUGCAUGGUGGGGGUUGGAAAGUUUCGGCGGUUGGGGAUGGACUCGCGGCUUAUCAGCUUGUUGGUGGGGUAGUGGCUUACCAAGGCUUUGACGGGUAGCCGGCCUGAGAGGGUGACCGGCCACAUUUGGACUGGGAUACGGCCCAGACUCCUACGGGAGGCAGCAGUGGGGAAUAUUGCACAAUGGGCGGAAGCCUGAUGCAGCAACGCAGCGUGCGGGAUGACGGCCGUCGGGUUGUAAACCGCUUUCGCCUGUGACGAAGCGUGAGUGACGGUAAUGGGUAAAGAAGCACCGGCUAACUACGUG